GGAAGGUCAAUCUUAAAUGCUGUAUAGGAGGAUCUCAUUGAGAAGAUAUCAUUUGAGCAAAGAUGUAAAGCAAGGGAGGGAAUGAGUCAGUGGCUACAUAGCGAGAGUGUCCUAGGCAGAGGAAACAGCUUCUACAAAAGCCCUGAAGCAAGAGAAUGUUUGAAGUGUUCAAGAAUAAACAGGAGAUGCAGAAUGAAUGGAAUUGAGAGUGAGUGAGGCAGUCGGAUACAAGAGACUAAUAUGGGGCAGCACUGAAGACUGCUGACAGCAGCCACAUGAGUGAGCUCAGAGUGGACACAACAGCCCCUUCAGAGGCUGCAGGGAUGGCAGACAGCCUGACUGCAAUGUCGUGAAAGAUGCUGAGGCAGAACCAUGCAGCAAAGUCAUUCCCAGAUUCCUGACUCUCAGAAAAUGUGUGAGAUAAUAAAUGCUAUUAUUUUAAGCUGCUAAAUUUUGGGGCAAUUUACUACUUAGCAGUAGAUGCCUAACACAAGG
This 495-nucleotide long non-coding RNA is filed under the name Homo sapiens (human). RNAcentral describes it as "HSALNT0314061". Lineage: Eukaryota; Metazoa; Chordata; Mammalia; Primates; Hominidae. The record is from RNAcentral.